Molecule: microRNA, 23 nt
Filed under: Monodelphis domestica (gray short-tailed opossum)
Lineage: Eukaryota; Metazoa; Chordata; Mammalia; Didelphimorphia; Didelphidae
Description: mdo-miR-7374c-5p
Source: miRBase by way of RNAcentral
CCAGCCCUUACCAUUUGGCCUGA